CGUACACAUGCAGUCGAGCGGUAGCACAGAGAGCUUGGUCUCGGUUGACGAGCGGGGGACGGGGGAGUAAUGUGUGGGAAACUGCCUGAUGGAGGGGGAUAACUACUGGGAACGGUGGCUAAUACCGCAUAACGUCGCACGACCCAAGAGGGGGACCUUCUGGCCUCUUGCCAUCUCAUGUGCCCCCAUGGGAUUAUCUAUUAUGUGGGGUAACGGCUCUCCUAUGCGACAAUCCCUAUCUGUACUGAGAGGAUGACCCCCCACACUGUAACUGAGACACGGUCCACACUCCUACAGGAGGCACCACUGGGGAAUAUUGCACAAUGGGCGCAAGCCUGAUGCACCCAUGCCCCGUGUAUAAAAAAAGCCUUCUGGUUGUAAAGUACUUUCUCCGGGGAGGAAAGGGAUAUGGGUAAUAACCUCGUCCAUUGACAUUACCCCCACAAAAAACACCGCCUAACUCCCCGCCACCACCCCCGGUAAUACAGAGGGGGCGAGCGUUAAUCUCAAUUACUCGGCGUAAAGCGCACGCAAGCGGUCUGUCAAGUCGGAUGUGAAAUCUCCGCGCUCUCCCUGUGAACUGUGUUCUAAACUGUGAGGCUAUAGACUUGUAUAGAGGGGUAGAAUUCCAGGUGUAUCGGGGAAAUGCGUAUAGAUCUGGAGGAAUACCCCUGGSGAAAGCGGCCCCCCUGGACACAGACUGACACUCUCGUGCGAAAGCGUGGGGAGCAAACAGGAGUAUAUACCCCUGGGAGACCACCCCCCAUACGAUAUCUACUUGUAGGUGUGCCCUUUAGGCGUGGGUCCCCCAGAUAACACGUUAAGACUACACCCUGUGGAGUACGCCCGCAAGGUGAAAACUCUMAUGAAUUUACGSGGGCCCCCACAAGCGCUGGAGCAUGUGUGUUAAUUUUAUGUACACGAGAAACCUUUACCUACUCUCUACAUCCCCAGAACUUUCACAGAUGUUUUUGUUGUCUUCUCGAACUCUCAGACAGUGCUGCAUGGUGUCGUCACAUCUGUUUGAAUGUUGGUAAAUCCCACCAAGGCCACCCUUAAUCCUUUUGUCCACGGUUUGCCGCAAUCAAGGAAUCUCACUGAUAACCUGGGAGAACCGGGCGGGU
RNAcentral lists this ribosomal RNA (1124 nucleotides) under Enterobacteriaceae bacterium. RNAcentral describes it as "bacterial SSU rRNA". The record is from RNAcentral. Lineage: Bacteria; Pseudomonadati; Pseudomonadota; Gammaproteobacteria; Enterobacterales; Enterobacteriaceae.